AUUGAACGCUGGCGGCAUGCCUUACACAUGCAAGUCGAACGGCAGCAUGAUCUAGCUUGCUAGAUUGAUGGCGAGUGGCGAACGGGUGAGUAAUACAUCGGAACGUGCCCUGUAGUGGGGGAUAACUAGUCGAAAGAUUAGCUAAUACCGCGUACGACCUGAGGGUGAAAGUGGGGGACCGCAAGGCCUCAUGCUAUAGGAGCGGCCGAUGUCUGAUUAGCUAGUUGGUGAGGUAAAGGCUCACCAAGGCGACGAUCAGUAGCUGGUCUGAGAGGACGAUCAGCCACACUGGGACUGAGACACGGCCCAGACUCCUACGGGAGGCAGCAGUGGGGAAUUUUGGACAAUGGGCGAAAGCCUGAUCCAGCAAUGCCGCGUGUGUGAAGAAGGCCUUCGGGUUGUAAAGCACUUUUGUCCGGAAAGAAAUGGCUCUGGUUAAUACCUGGGGUCGAUGACGGUACCGGAAGAAUAAGGACCGGCUAACUACGUG
RNAcentral lists this ribosomal RNA (490 nucleotides) under uncultured bacterium. RNAcentral's name for it is "partial 16S ribosomal RNA". It matches the Rfam family "Bacterial small subunit ribosomal RNA", at positions 30 to 507 of the family's 1533-position model. The record is from RNAcentral.